UGUAUAGUAAGGCGUUUUUAGCUGGAAAAAACGACCAUGUAUAGUUAGGCGUUUUUAGCCGAAAUAACCGACCAUGAAUAGUCAGGCAUUUUAAGCCGAAAACAACAAGCCAUGAAUAGUAAGGCAUUUUUAGCCGAAAAAUAGAACCAUGAAUAGUAAGGCGUUUUUAGCUGAAAAAAACGACCAUGUA
This is a long non-coding RNA of Hippocampus comes (tiger tail seahorse), 190 nucleotides long. RefSeq lists it as uncharacterized. The transcript is spliced from 2 exons. Lineage: Eukaryota; Metazoa; Chordata; Actinopteri; Syngnathiformes; Syngnathidae. The record is from RefSeq and is a predicted model, not a curated record.